This 527-nucleotide ribosomal RNA is filed under the name uncultured bacterium. Its description in RNAcentral is "partial 16S ribosomal RNA". It matches the Rfam family "Bacterial small subunit ribosomal RNA", at positions 355 to 874 of the family's 1533-position model. The record is from RNAcentral.
UGGGGAAUAUUGCACAAUGGGCGCAAGCCUGAUGCAGCCAUGCCGCGUGUGUGAAGAAGGCCUUCGGGUUGUAAAGCACUUUUGUCCGGAAAGAAAUCCUUGGCUCUAAUACAGUCGGGGGAUGACGGUACCGGAAGAAUAAGCACCGGCUAACUACGUGCCAGCAGCCGCGGUAAUACGUAGGGUGCAAGCGUUAAUCGGAAUUACUGGGCGUAAAGCGUGCGCAGGCGGUUUGCUAAGACCGAUGUGAAAUCCCCGGGCUCAACCUGGGAACUGCAUUGGUGACUGGCAGGCUAGAGUAUGGCAGAGGGGGGUAGAAUUCCACGUGUAGCAGUGAAAUGCGUAGAGAUGUGGAGGAAUACCGAUGGCGAAGGCAGCCCCCUGGGCCAAUACUGACGCUCAUGCACGAAAGCGUGGGGAGCAAAACAGGAUUAGAUACCCUGGUAGUCCACGCCCUAAACGAUGUCAACUAGUUGUUGGGGAUUCAUUUCCUUAGUAACGUAGCUAACGCGUGAAGUUGACCGCCU